RNAcentral lists this ribosomal RNA (486 nucleotides) under uncultured bacterium. Its description in RNAcentral is "partial 16S ribosomal RNA". It matches the Rfam family "Bacterial small subunit ribosomal RNA", at positions 30 to 507 of the family's 1533-position model. The record is from RNAcentral.
AUUGAACGCUGGCGGCAUGCCUUACACAUGCAAGUCGAACGGCAGCACGGGUGCUUGCACCUGGUGGCGAGUGGCGAACGGGUGAGUAUUACAUCGGAACAUGUCCUGUAGUGGGGGAUAGCCCGGCGAAAGCCGGAUUAAUACCGCAUACGAUCUACGGAUGAAAGCGGGGGACCUUCGGGCCUCGCGCUAUAGGGUUGGCCGAUGGCUGAUUAGCUAGUUGGUGGGGUAAAGGCCUACCAAGGCGACGAUCAGCAGCUGGUCUGAGAGGACGACCAGCCACACUGGGACUGAGACACGGCCCAGACUCCUACGGGAGGCAGCAGUGGGGAAUUUUGGACAAUGGGCGAAAGCCUGAUCCAGCAAUGCCGCGUGCGUGAAGAAGGCCUUCGGGUUGUAAAGCACUUUUGUCCGGAAAGAAAUCCUUGGCCCUAAUACGGUCGGGGGAUGACGGUACCGGAAGAAUAAGCACCGGCUAACUACGUG